Molecule: long non-coding RNA, 907 nt
Filed under: Equus caballus (horse)
Lineage: Eukaryota; Metazoa; Chordata; Mammalia; Perissodactyla; Equidae
Description: lncRNA (ENSECAG00000032456.3)
Source: RNAcentral
CCGGCAUGAUGGAGGAAAGGGUUGAUACACUGGUGCUCUCCUAAGCGCUAUAAGCAGCAGUGACUGUGACUCCUUUCAGCCCUCAGGCCAUGGAGCAGCUGGCCUGCCGCUGCAAUUUGCUCUUGCCCUGAAUAUUUGGGGCGGGACCUUCAGCCUGCGUGAGGCCUGAAGAGGAUGUUCCUGCCACAGAAGGCAUCCAAGUCUUAUGGCAGGCACCGCUGUCACGCUCAGACUUCUCAGACUUGGUCUCAGGCUCAGCUGCUGUCUCUAUGGGGCGGCUGUGGACUCUUCAGGAAUCAGCGACCUUCAUGGAUGUGGUUGUGGACUUCACCCAGGAAGAAUAGGCCUUGGUGGGCGCAUCCCAGCGAAAGCUAUACAGAGAUGUGAUGCUGGAGAACAUCAGUCAUCUUCUCUCUGUUGUUGAGUCUGUCAACAAGGACUUAUUUACUCAAGUAUCCAGGGAAGUUUCCACAUAUCAUGCUCCCCUCUCAGCUCUCAUUUUUAUUCUUUCAUAACACAACUACGAGAAGGCAGGAGAAGUAACCUUUAAAACCAAGAAAUUGUACCUAUACCAGAUAUCUGCAGGAAUAAUCCAUCUAACUGUACAGUGAUGGUUCAUGGUGAGUUAACAUAUGUGAAGUCACGUGGGCCCAGGAGGCCCACCUCCAUAAGCUGUUGGACCAACUGAGGCAGCAAAGCCAUGAGGAAACUCUGAAGUUUCACCUGGAAAAUACCCAAGAUAUUCUCCAGAACAUGAAAUACUGGUAGGCAGACCAGAUUCAAAAAGACAGAAGGGGAUGGCCUGAAAUCCAUAAUUAAUGUCAGAUGAAGCCUGCUUAGGAGGCCAGGGGUGUGCCCAGGAAGUUCAAGAUGAAAAUCUUUCCUCUAACUUCGGAGAAUGUUGUGG